RNAcentral lists this ribosomal RNA (448 nucleotides) under uncultured bacterium. RNAcentral's name for it is "bacterial SSU rRNA". It matches the Rfam family "Bacterial small subunit ribosomal RNA", at positions 330 to 792 of the family's 1533-position model. The record is from RNAcentral.
UCCAGACUCCUACGGGAGGCAGCAGUGGGGAAUAUUGGGCAAUGGAGGAAACUCUUACUCAGCAAUGCCGCGUGAAUGAAGAAGGUCUUCGGAUUGUAAAGUUCUUUAAUUGGGGACGAAAAAAAUGACGGUACCCAAGGAAUAAGCCCCGGCUAACUACGUGCCAGCAGCCGCGGUAAUACGUAGGUGGCAAGCGUUGUCCGGAUUUACUGGGUGUAAAGGGCGUGUAGCCGGGCUGACAAGUCAGAUGUGAAAUCCGGGGGCUCAACCCCCGAACUGCAUUUGAAACUGUUGGUCUUGAGUAUCGGAGAGGCAGGCGGAAUUCCUAGUGUAGCGGUGAAAUGCGUAGAUAUUAGGAGGAACACCAGUGGCGAAGGCGGCCUGCUGGACGACAACUGACGGUGAGGCGCGAAAGCGUGGGGAGCAAACAGGAUUAGAUACCCCUGUA